This is a non-coding RNA of Arachis ipaensis, 1357 nucleotides long. The record is from RefSeq and is a predicted model, not a curated record. NCBI's taxonomy places the organism in Eukaryota, Viridiplantae, Streptophyta, Magnoliopsida, Fabales, Fabaceae.
CAAUGCUGUUUUUAUUAAAAAAUAUUUUCUGAAUGUUGUAGAUUUUUGUACCAAUUCACCUUAAUGAUCAUUGGUUCCUCAUAGUGGUUAAUUUGCUUUAUGGAACUGUGAGGUAUAUGGACUCGUUCAAGCGUUGUACAUCGAUGACAGAGCGUAAGAGAGUCAUUGAUGAUGUGUUAACUUAUCUUGAGAAGUUUGUAUCUGACGAAAACUUCCAAGAAACACCUUCACCUAAAAACCUUCAAUUUUCUAAAUAUAAAUUCUCUGAGCCAGCUGUCCCGCAACAAAAGGCCAAUUCGAAUGAUUGUGGUAUUUGGGUCGUGAAUGGAUGAUCCUCAACCACUAUUGGGGCGUCAAUAAGCCAUGGGUUAUCAAUGAUUACUCAAGGAUGCGAUUGGCUGUAGAUUUGGUGUACAAAUGGCACAAUCCGAAACGGGAUAUGAUAAAAGAGUUUGCUGUUGCUAACUGGAAUAAAAAGAUGCAGCAGUCUGUCCUUCAAACUUAGAAUUUUAAGACGCCUCUAGUUAAAAAUUUAUUAAUCGUAAUUGUGUAUUUUAAGAACACAUUUAUUUAGUUAAGUUAUGGAUUGAUUAGGCCAUUUUAAAUUUGUUUGAAGUACACUUUAUCUUUAUAUUUAAGUCUAUAAUGAUUUAUAUAUUACUGUUUUUGGACUAUUUAGAUAUAUAUUGUUCUUUUUUAUUUAUAAUAAUUUAUACAUGAUCUUUCUAGCAAUUGUUUCAUUAUUAUUGAACCUAACCUAAAUUUUAAGUUCAGUAGUAUACUCUAUAAUUUAGAUAUAUAGUAUUGAAUGGAUGAGAAUUUUGAUAAACUUCCAUGAUGCAGCCACAGUGGUUAUGGUAACGACAAUUACUAUGUUAAACAUCUGAAGUGCAUAUGGUAAAUAUUGUGGUGGCAGGUACUUUUGCAUUUUAGUAAUAAGGAAUGGUUAGGGUGAGUUAGGUAAUUCUGUUAUGGCCAUUAUAGAUUAUUUGCAUUAUAGUGUUUCUAUUCAAUUUUCUGUGUUACAGCAUAGUACUAUAUACUUAUCCUUUGUGUUUGUGAGAAAUCUUUUGAGUGCAAACUGAAACAGAACUUUGUGGCUGUGGCAGCCUACAAUAAAUCCAAUUUCUGCAGCUGCUGCCAGCAAUGCUGCACUUUUAGAAAGGGCCCCAUCUGUGGUAGCUAUGGAUGGACUGCACCAUUUUUCUUGCAGUUCCUCUUUUGAAAUUUAUUUAUUUAUUUCUGUAGAUCCUUGAAGCUACCUGAGAAUGUACGAGUAACCAAGGUAUGUUCUUUACCUUAGGCAUACAAUAUUGAAAGUUUAGUGAAACUUAGUUGUUUUAUAAAUCAUUUUAAU